This is a long non-coding RNA of Zingiber officinale, 250 nucleotides long. RefSeq lists it as uncharacterized. The record is from RefSeq and is a predicted model, not a curated record. The transcript is spliced from 2 exons. NCBI's taxonomy places the organism in Eukaryota, Viridiplantae, Streptophyta, Magnoliopsida, Zingiberales, Zingiberaceae.
CUUCUCUCUUUUCUUUCCUCUCUCGCCCCCGUUCCCCCUUCUUCCCAUCUGCGAUUUCCAGGUUUCGGCCACAUCUCCGACCGACGACGGCGUGAUCUACGACGAUCGGCGGUGGAAGGUUUUCGUUUGGGAAUUGGUCAAAGAUGGUGAAAUUAGUUCAACUCAGCCAAAUUGAACAGAGUUGGCAAUUCUUUGGCUGUUUUACGACCUUACAAGCAACAAGAAGGGAAUUAGCUGGAGACAACUACUA